This 632-nucleotide ribosomal RNA is filed under the name Echinococcus granulosus. RNAcentral's name for it is "partial 12S ribosomal RNA". The stretch from base 315 to 467 matches the Rfam family "Archaeal large subunit ribosomal RNA", at positions 1887 to 2086 of the family's 2987-position model. Lineage: Eukaryota; Metazoa; Platyhelminthes; Cestoda; Cyclophyllidea; Taeniidae. The record is from RNAcentral.
UGUUGUUUGGUCUGGGUAAGGUCUUGUAAACUAAAUUUAUGUGGUGAUAAGUGAGUCGUAAAGCUUUAUAACUGUUUGGUUGUUUAGAAUUUAGUGGGAUGUAGGUGGCUAUUAGGUCAUUUAUAUUUUUAUACAUUUGGUGAUGUGUGGUUUUUGAUAAGGUUAGAGGUACCUAGUUUUUGUUAUAUUGUUGUAAAUAUGGUUUUGUUGGUUUAUUGGUAUGUUAAUUGUUUGAACAACUGUUUUGCUAUAUUUGGUUAUUAUAUUAUCGUUGAAUAAGUAAUUUUAUUAUGCUAUUUAUUUCUUGAGUUCUUUCCGUCUGUUUAUUAAAAACAUUUCUAAUUUUAAUUGUAGUUAGUAGUGCCUGCCCAAUGUUGGUUAAUUAAUGGCCGCAGUAUAUUGACUGUGCAAAGGUAGCAUAAUUAAUUGCCUUUUAAUUGGAGGCUUGUUUGAAUGGUUUGACGUGAUUGGUAUGAAUAUUUGGUAUUUAGUUGAAAUUGAUUUUGAGGGUUUAGAAUCCUUAAUGUUUAAUAAGACGGAAAGACCCUAGGAUCUUUUGUUUUUGUUUGGGGCAAAUAUUGUUGUUUUAUGAAUAUUGUGACCCUGAGAUGGUAUUGGUUUAUUGGGUUAAG